GGGAGGAGGUGUGCAAUCAAACCACAAAUGCAGAAGGACUGCUGGGAGCUGAAUGUGGGGGAGAAGACACCAAAGGGAGCGGCAGGACACAACAAGUGUGGCAUGGGAAGACAAAGGGGGAAGUGGGGACGAGCAGGAGGCCUGGGACUUUAAAUGCUACUGGAAGUCAGAAGGGAAGAGAUGACUGAUACCAGAAAAGGAACUGUACAGCUGGAAAGUGAAAUGUGAGAUGGGAAUUGCACAUGUGAGAAGGGAAGGCAACUGAGGCUGUUGAUGGGGCAAGGAAACUUCAGGGUGCCUUUUAUGAGAAAACUUUGGGCCCAAGAAGGUUUAUGCUGAACCCUCAAACACAUGCUGUUCAAAUGGCUUGAAAUAUUGAGUGAAGUGUGUUCAUCUUUCAUUAGCUGGAGAAAAGGUCAGUUUGGCUUGGAGCUAAAGGACAAAUCCAUGGUGUACAUCAGCCCUGCCUUUCGAUGUGGUGCCAGUGUGUUGGGCUGCCAUUCAGGAGAACCGAGGUGGAAAUGGAAGCCAAACUACACGUGGCUCUUGGGUGUCUCUCUGUAUGAUAAACCAGGGGGGUGCACUGUGCCAUUUCUCAACAAUGCAUGCAUUUUCUUUCCAUUGAAAUGCUAUGGUUGGUGUUACAGUUUUCAAAUUAAAAACUGAAUGUGUUUGAAUAUUUUCCCACACAAACAUUUCUUUGACUUGCAAAAUUCUUUUCUGUUAAAAGUGUCAGAGUGGAUUUUUAACCCAUUCUAAGAAAUUUUCUGCUGUCAAAAAUGACUAAUAUCCUAAACUCUCUUAAGAGUUAUUUGUCCCCAUUUUCCUUGCUGAAAAACGAUGAUUUCUGGAAUUGUUUUUGUUUUGUUUUGUUUUCUUUUUUCUCCCUUUAGUAUUCUUCUAGCAUCUCCAUAGUUUUUUCUCACCCAUGUAUAGCACUAAACUUUGGAAAGAGUGAUUUUUCUGAACAUGGAAAGUAAAAGAAAUGGCACAGUAGUUCAGCUGGGAUUAAGAAGAGAUUUAAGCCAAGCCUGAUCUAUAGGGAGAACUUUUCUGGAACCAAAAUGCUCCUACAGGUUUUUUUUUUUGAGCUUAGUAUUUUUUGGAAGUUCAAUGUACACUUCUACAAGGACUUCCAAAUGUAUCUUGUUCACUAAUAAAUUCCAAAUAAUUAUUGCUGGCUUUUGGGCU
Molecule: long non-coding RNA, 1191 nt
Filed under: Parus major (Great Tit)
Lineage: Eukaryota; Metazoa; Chordata; Aves; Passeriformes; Paridae
Description: lncRNA (ENSPMJG00000009337.1)
Source: RNAcentral